RNAcentral lists this long non-coding RNA (1228 nucleotides) under Homo sapiens (human). RNAcentral's name for it is "HSALNT0161684". Lineage: Eukaryota; Metazoa; Chordata; Mammalia; Primates; Hominidae. The record is from RNAcentral.
AAAAAAAAAAAGAUUUAGGAGAAACAAGUCCUGAAGCCCUGACCCUAACACGCAAGGGUUAGUGGAGAUGUGGGACUUGAACUCAGCUUCUCCGUUGAGUCUGGCUGUCUCCCGGACGCAGGCACGUGCUUGCACACCUCCACGUGGCGAUCCCGCCCCCUUAGUAGCGUCCUUAGCUCGGCACUUCUUGCGGGGAAGUUCCUCUUGGCCCAGACCCUCGUCCUAGGCCCCGCGUCAUGGGGGAAGCGAAAGGGGCAGCGUGGGGAAGUGGCUGAGGGGUCGGGUCCGGGGUGGUCUGCAGAGAGGCAGGCGACGGUGCGGAGCCGGGAACCACGGGCUCACCCGUCGAGUCGGACGGGCCCCGCGGGGGUGGGCGAGACACUGGGAACAGCGGUCAGCUCCAGAGGGCGCGAGGCGGGGCGCGCGGGGAGGGGGGGCGCGCGGGGAGCGGGUGCGCGCGCGGUUGGGGGGCAGUGAGGGUCGCCGCGGCGGCGCGCAGCACGGCUGGAACAUGGCGAGCGGAACUGGCGCGCGCGCCUAGCUGGCGGGACCUUUAACUCGAGGCGGACGCCGCCCGGACCCCGUGGAUAUGGAGCAGUCGCCGCCGCCGGCGCCCGAGCCGACCCAAGGGCCCCCGCAAGGAGCUGAAGGCGGCUGGAGCCCGAAUCGCCGCCGGCGUCGGCGCAGUCAAAGAAGAUGGCCACAGAGACAGCAGCGUGGUCAGAGUGGUAGGAGCCAGCCAUCGGCGAGAGCUGCUCCGUGCCUGGCUGCUGGGUGCUAGAGCCUGUGGCCCACUGGCUUGCCUCACUGUGAUUGGUGGUGGUGGUGACAGAGACUGCAGCACGACCAGAGUGGCUUUUCUGGCUUUGCCCGCCCAGCUGCUCCGUGCCAGGAGGAGAAGGAGACACCUAGAGCCUGUGACACCAUGACUUGCCUCGCUGCGGGUGGGUGGCAGCAAUGGAGACUGCAGUGCGCCAGAGCGUCUCCCACUGUCACCCAGGCUGAACUCCUGAGGCCAGAAUGAGACUAGGACAUGGUUCCUUUGCCUAAGUAAAGUGAGGCAGACAAUGGAAUACUUCAGACUUCAAAUUAGUAUGAUUUUCAAAACGUCAUACCUCGAACCACCACCAGAUGGCGAUGAGAAUGUUACAAAUAUUGUGCCACCAUAUAAUGCUUUCUCAGGCCAAGGCAUGCCAGAGGUAAAAUAAAAUACAUUUGUAACCCAAGU